GACGAAGAAUAAACGAGAAAUAGAGGCGGAAUAGGAGAAGGAGCUAAGGUGGAAUAUUUAGAUGUUUGUCGGGUUCCUGAAGAUGCGUCGACGUGUUAUCAUCCACGCAAGCUUCCGCAACCCAGCCAGUGUACCACAGGACGGGAAGAGGAAGCCAGCGGCUGCAUGCACCAUUGAACCGGACGGCAUUGUAUUCCUCCCACAGGAGUGACUACAGCGAAGCAAGCCCAGAAUAAAGUGUUGAGUGACCGUGAUGAUUCAGUACUACUAACACCAAAGAAGUGAAGGAAGUGUUCGGAGUGAACGUGCAAGACAUACAACAGACACCAGACUGCUGCCGCUGCUGCUACUGCCGGUGUAGCCAAAGGAACAAAAGGUCCGGAGCAGGAGGAAGAAAUGGGUGAUUCUUGGAAACGCAGCAAUGAAGUUGUGAAGGUUGGCCACAAAUCUUCAUCACAGAUGUCUCCGGUGUGUCGCCUAGUGUGUUCCCUUGUCCCGCUCGAGAGAGAGACUCGGAUCACCACCGCGUCGAGCCGCCUGCCCACCUCCCUCCAUUCUCCUUCGCCUCUCACUUGAGUAUUGUGAAUGUUGUAUUUAUUUUCAUCACGCCUCUGUGUUUGUAAAGGGAGAGUGUUCCAAUAAGUGAGCUCUGUUUGCAGUCACAUGUGUAUUUCAAAGGUGUUUUGCCAAGUGCUGUGCUGAGGUGUUGUGGUGUAUCUGUCUGUACAGUGUUCGAGCUAGCUUUCGCCCACUUUUGUGACGCUACCUUCCGUACUGCAUUAAUGUCUGUGGAUUUCCCUCUUUUACCCCCGUCCUGAUAAACCUUAAAAUUGUGGUUAUGUUGGUUCAGUGUACAUUUCCCUCGUGUAACGGAGUGGUAAGUCAACCUCCCUCCACGCACAACAGUGUCGGGAAUCAUUUCCCCCGUGUCACGGUGUCAUGGGAUAUUUUCUCUUAUGUCUGUUUGCUUGUGGGGUAAUGAUACGUGUAGUGUGGCAUACUGGUGAGUGAAGCUGCAUAACUCUCUACUCUCCAUCGUGGAUCUGUUUCCCCAUGAUUAUUACUCUUGUAUGGGUUAUCAUUGGUGAUUAUGGUGCUUGUUAGUGAAGCUAUCUUUGCUUAAUAUAUGUACUAUUUUUGA
Portunus trituberculatus (swimming crab) is the source of this 1141-nucleotide long non-coding RNA. RefSeq lists it as uncharacterized. The record is from RefSeq and is a predicted model, not a curated record. The transcript is spliced from 4 exons. NCBI's taxonomy places the organism in Eukaryota, Metazoa, Arthropoda, Malacostraca, Decapoda, Portunidae.